AUUGAACGCUGGCGGCAUGCCUUACACAUGCAAGUCGAACGGUAACGGGUCCUUCGGGAUGCCGACGAGUGGCGAACGGGUGAGUAAUAUAUCGGAACGUGCCCAGUAGUGGGGGAUAACUGCUCGAAAGAGCAGCUAAUACCGCAUACGACCUGAGGGUGAAAGGGGGGGAUCGCAAGACCUCUCGCUAUUGGAGCGGCCGAUAUCAGAUUAGCUAGUUGGUGGGGUAAAGGCCUACCAAGGCAACGAUCUGUAGUUGGUCUGAGAGGACGAGCAGCCACGCUGGGACUGAGGCACGGCCCAGACUCCGACGGGAGGCAGCAGUGGGGAAUUUUGGACAAUGGGCGCAAGCCUGAUCCAGCAAUGCCGCGUGCAGGAAGAAGGCCUUCGGGUUGUAAACUGCUCUUGUCAGGGAAGAAAUCUUCUGGGCUAAUACCCCGGGAGGAUGACGGUACCUGAAGAAUAAGCACCGGCUAACUACGUGCCAGCAGCCGCCGUAA
RNAcentral lists this ribosomal RNA (500 nucleotides) under uncultured bacterium. RNAcentral describes it as "partial 16S ribosomal RNA". It matches the Rfam family "Bacterial small subunit ribosomal RNA", at positions 30 to 523 of the family's 1533-position model. The record is from RNAcentral.